Molecule: regulatory RNA element, 135 nt
Organism: Pseudomonas sp. StFLB209
Lineage: Bacteria; Pseudomonadati; Pseudomonadota; Gammaproteobacteria; Pseudomonadales; Pseudomonadaceae
Rfam family: Pseudomonas rpsL leader
Source: Rfam
GGUCGGGGCAUUGCCUUGACUGGGGGCGAGAUCCUCUUUAGACUCUUGUACCCCUAAAUUUGACAGGGCCUAUCGCCCUGUCAUUUGCUUUCUUGCAGGCAAUAGCGUCUGCAAGUCAACAGUGGAGCUAGUAGA